Molecule: long non-coding RNA, 1011 nt
Filed under: Citrus sinensis (sweet orange)
Lineage: Eukaryota; Viridiplantae; Streptophyta; Magnoliopsida; Sapindales; Rutaceae
Description: long non-coding RNA (CSIN_LNC001078)
Source: RNAcentral
UUUCACCAUUCAGUAAACUCCUCAUGUUCAUUAACUUCCCAAUCCCCGCUGGCAAUUCUCUAAGAUUUCGGCACCGCCUAAUAUCUAGCUUUUGUAAAUUAUAUAAUUCACACAAAGUCUCAGGUAGUAUCUCUAUGCCGAUUUCAAUUUGGGGAAGGCAAUAACUGAUGGUGAUGAUGAAGAAGAAGACGGGCCAUCCUCACUGCUUUCUUCUAUUCCCAAAAACUCAUUACCCAAUCUUUUUACACUUUUCAAGUUCCCUAGUUCGAGUUUUUCCAGAGCCAAUUUUCCCAAAGGAGGCAAAUGCUCACAGUCAACGCACGAGACAAGUCUUAAUUCCCUUAGAUUGGUUAGUGAAGUCAACCAUUUGGGAAAAAUGUUGCCUCCAUAGAAUACAAUCCCGAAUUCCUCUAAAUUCAAAGGCGGUUGUAAGGCUUCAAGAAGUUGUUUAUCUUUCUCGUUCUUCCUCCUCCCUUCUUCGCCUUCCCCAUCUACGACUCUACCAAACUCAAGAUGCAAACGAAGGAGGUUUUUCUUAUUGUAAAGUUGCGACCUCUCAGCCUCAUCUAAAUGUGACACAUUACUCAGCCCUUCUAUACUACAUUUACCACGGAGUUGAAGAUUUUUCAGAGAUUCAAGCCUACACGUAUUGCUACCAUCAACACCUCCACCCACCACAAACCUGUCUAAUGUUCGAAGGCUGGUUAAUUUGGAAAUCCCUAUUGGCAUGUACUUCAACGAAUAAGUUUCACCAUUCAGUAAACUCCUCAUGUUCAUUAACUUCCCAAUCCCCGCUGGCAAUUCUCUAAGAUUUCGGCACCGCCUAAUAUCUAGCUUUUGUAAAUUAUAUAAUUCACACAAAGUCUCAGGUAGUAUCUCUAUGCCUAAUUCAGACAAAUUAAGAUAUUUUAAAUGUAUCAAUUUUCUGACAUUUUUUGGAAUUUCUCUAAUCGAAUUUGGGUCAAGAUGAAAAGGAUGAAAAUAUAGGGACGAUUGCCUUAUAACUAAUGC